This is a long non-coding RNA of Phyllostomus discolor (pale spear-nosed bat), 103 nucleotides long. RefSeq lists it as uncharacterized. Lineage: Eukaryota; Metazoa; Chordata; Mammalia; Chiroptera; Phyllostomidae. The transcript is spliced from 2 exons. The record is from RefSeq and is a predicted model, not a curated record.
GGUAGAUAAAGAGCUUCCCAGAUAAGGUCAAUUUAAAAGACUUCAUUACCACCAAGCCCUGAUUAUAUGUAAUUUUCAAGGGAUUUAUCUAAGAAAAAGAAGA